GACGAACGCUGGCGGCGUGCUUAACACAUGCAAGUCGAACGGAAAGGCCUCUUUCGGGGGGUACUCGAGUGGCGAACGGGUGAGUAACACGUGAGUAACCUGCCCUUGACUUUGGGAUAACUUCAGGAAACUGGGGCUAAUACCGGAUAGGAGCUCCUGCUGCAUGGUGGGGGUUGGAAAGUUUCGGCGGAUGGGGAUGGACUCGCGGCUUAUCAGCUUGUUGGUGGGGUAGUGGCUUACCAAGGCUUUGACGGGUAGCCGGCCUGAGAGGGUGACCGGCCACAUUGGGACUGAGAUACGGCCCAGACUCCUACGGGAGGCAGCAGUGGGGAAUAUUGCACAAUGGGUGGAAGCCUGAUGCAGCAACGCCGUGUGCGGGAUGACGGCCUUCGGGUUGUAAACCGCUUUCGCUCAUGACGAAGCUUUGUGUGACGGUAGUGGGUAAAGAAGCACCGGCUAACUACGUG
RNAcentral lists this ribosomal RNA (467 nucleotides) under uncultured bacterium. RNAcentral's name for it is "partial 16S ribosomal RNA". It matches the Rfam family "Bacterial small subunit ribosomal RNA", at positions 28 to 507 of the family's 1533-position model. The record is from RNAcentral.